Molecule: ribosomal RNA, 465 nt
Filed under: uncultured bacterium
Lineage: Bacteria
Description: partial 16S ribosomal RNA
Rfam family: Bacterial small subunit ribosomal RNA
Source: RNAcentral
GACGAACGCUGGCGGCGUGCUUAACACAUGCAAGUCGAACGGAAAGGCCCUGCUUGCCGGGUACUCGAGUGGCGAACGGGUGAGUAACACGUGGGUGAUCUGCCCUGCACUUCGGGAUAAGCCUGGGAAACUGGGUCUAAUACCGGAUAGGAGCCAUUUUUAGUGUGAUGGUUGGAAAGUUUUUUCGGUGUAGGAUGAGCUCGCGGCCUAUCAGCUUGUUGGUGGGGUAAUGGCCUACCAAGGCGGCGACGGGUAGCCGGCCUGAGAGGGUGGACGGCCACAGUGGGACUGAGAUACGGCCCAGACUCCGACGGGAGGCAGCAGGGGGGAAUAUUGCACAAGGGGCGCAAGCCUGAUGCAGCGACGCCGCGUGGGGGAUGGCGGCCUUCGGGUUGUAAACUCCUUUCGCUAGGGACGAAGCUUUUUGUGACGGUACCUAGAGAAGAAGCACCGGCUAACUACGUG